UACGUAGGGUGCGAGCGUUGUCCGGAAUUACUGGGCGUAAAGAGCUCGUAGGUGGUUUGUCGCGUUGUUCGUGAAAUUCCCUGGCUUAACUGGGGGCGUGCGGGCGAUACGGGCAGACUGGAGUACUGCAGGGGAGACUGGAAUUCCUGGUGUAGCGGUGAAAUGCGUAGAUAUCAGGAGGAACACCGAUGGCGAAGGCAGGUCUCUGGGCCAUAACUGACGCUGAGAAGCGAAAGCAUGGGGAGCGAACAGG
This 253-nucleotide ribosomal RNA is filed under the name uncultured bacterium. RNAcentral's name for it is "partial 16S ribosomal RNA". It matches the Rfam family "Bacterial small subunit ribosomal RNA", at positions 524 to 776 of the family's 1533-position model. The record is from RNAcentral.